GGGGCCGGCCGCGCGCCAGGCCCCGCCCCUCGGGGCCCCGCCCAGGGCGCGCUGCCAGGGGUUUCCAUGGUGAUGGUAAACAAGCCUCAACUGCCUCAGCUACAACUGCCAAGUUCCCCGCGUUCCACCCUCCUCUAGGUGCUCAGAGGGACGAUCGAGGUGCCGGAUGUGAAGAGCGGGAGCGUGGAGACCCGGAGCCCGAGGACAGUUCGUUACCUACCAGGAGUGUCUCCGACUGUGGGCAUCCCCCCUCAGGUGGUUCUUUAAGCCACAAAAAACUGCACCCAAGCUUGUUUGAC
Molecule: long non-coding RNA, 299 nt
Filed under: Canis lupus familiaris (dog)
Lineage: Eukaryota; Metazoa; Chordata; Mammalia; Carnivora; Canidae
Description: lncRNA (ENSCAFG00040025618.1)
Source: RNAcentral